This is an RNA transcript of Pygocentrus nattereri (red-bellied piranha), 3846 nucleotides long. It is a transcript of the gene named receptor-type tyrosine-protein kinase FLT3-like, with no coding region annotated. Lineage: Eukaryota; Metazoa; Chordata; Actinopteri; Characiformes; Serrasalmidae. The record is from RefSeq and is a predicted model, not a curated record. The transcript has 12 exons.
CAAAUCAUUCAAAUCUAUAUUUUAUUGAAAGUAGUACAAAGUCAACAAAUUAAAUGAAACUAAGAAAUUUUAUUUUUGCAAAAAUGUUUGCCCACAUGGCAUGCACCCAUAUCCCAAGCCCCCGAUGACGGCCGCGAGAGCCAGCAGGAAGGCGGUGCCCAAUUCCCGAACACUACUGAGGGACACUAGUGACGGUGGGAGGAGGACAUCAGUCGCCAGAGUGAGGAUGAUGACAACGGGGGCCACAAGAGCCUCAAAGGCAGGAAACGAGCCCCAAAUUCAGCCACCCUGGCCCUGCCUCCUGUUCUGCAGCGAGGCCGCUUCACUACGCCUCAUGUUCGACCCAGACAGAGGAGCUAAGGAACGGGGGUGGUGAUUGAGAGGCAGUUCAACAUAGGAAGGGAGUGGGUAUGAGCAGCUUCUGUACAGGAAACCCCCACAGCAACCACAGGAAAGGCAGCAUAGCCCCGGGCCAAGAAGUAGGCGUGACAUUUUGUCUGCACCACUCCUUCAUUUGGUGAAUUUUGGAUACCUUUCAGUGGUCCAGGUCUCAACUGCGAAAGGCUGUGGCUCACCCUUGUGUUUGGAGUCACCUUUGUUUGGAAAGAUUCAUCAGCAACAUAAAGCCUUCCCCACAUAUUCCCCACAUAUUCCUACUGAGCUGCAUGGUAUUUCUUCCAGUUGGGGUUGGCAGCAAUCUAAUUUAAGUUUUUCAGCGUCCUCCAGGUUGUAUGCUUUCAUCACAAAGUCCCACCACAGCAGGUUGAGGGGUACCCACAAGAGUCUACUCAGAUUACGCCAGUUGUGUUGUUGUUUCUUCCGUUUUCUCUGCAUAUCCUUGUGACUUUAGAUAGAAAAACAUGAAACAAAGCCCCUAGACAAUACACGCACACCGGCUACCAGCAUACUCCUAGGACUCACUCUCAGUCCUUGUGGACAGGCCCACAUUCUCCACCAGUUGUGGUGUCAGCCUGGUGAGGGGCCGAGCCACACUGGCUGGGAAGCUAAGGAGAACACAAGGUACACACACACAUACACACACACACACACACAUACACACACUCACAUAGAGAGGCCAAACACAGGUGUAAAAUGGUAGUUUUAUUUAAACAAGAAAAUGAAACAGUGUAAAUUUAACUGAAAAUAGAACCUAUUAGGGCUCAUCUUACGCAGUCCACUCUUCACAACUCUCCAGCCAGGGUGAGCCUCUGGUGAAAGGUCCACCUUCAGUGUAGGUGCUUCAGGUGCUAAGACUUUUGUAAAGUAUUGUGUAAAAUUCUGAUUAUAUGUACGUUAUCUCACUGCAGACGGUUACAUGCAGCCUGGCUGAAGCGGACCUGCAAGGUUCUCAGAAAACGCAGCUGGAAGUUGUAGCUGAGCAGACAGUUGAAAUUCGUUCCUUGGGCAACAGUUCAGGAGGUUUUUCACCAUGUUCCUGGGCACAAAGAGAAACAGCCAAUAUGCUACCAAUCCAGCGCUUUACAAGAGACAUGGAUGGACUGUACACUGUAGUCUGUGGCAACUCAAACUAUUCUGUAAACAUCUCAGUCCAUGUAACUGCUCCAAAAAAGCGGCCAUCGAUUCCACAGCUAACAGUCUCUGAAGGAGAAGGACAUACUGUUAGUUUUAGAUGUGCUUCUGCAGGAAACCCUAAACCAAAAAUUACAUACAAGAAACAAACCCAGCAGUCAAGAUAUAAAAGAAGAGAAAAAUCUGGAUGAGGAGAUGGCUGUAAGCACACUUGAUGGUUUCAACUACCAGACCUCAAACACGAACUGUUGUGCCACAAACUCACAGGGAAAAGAAUGCGCCCUGAUUUACCAUUACGAACUUGGAAAGCCCAUGCGGGAGAGUGAAGCUCCACAGAUUUUACUGAAUCCUGGACAGUCACUCGCACUCCGAUGUAAAGCUAAUAAUAAAAAAACUCCUGUGGAGUGGUUCUUCAACAACACCAAGCUCAGUGGACUAAAAACAUUAUGGUAUGCUUCAGUGUUUAAGUAUUUCUCCAUUGAAUCAGUUAGUGAGCAUAACAGUGGAGAGUAUGUUUGCAAAAGUGAGGACGGGCAAUCAAAGGCUACGCAGGUACAGGUGCAAGAGGAGGAUUUAAUUGAGAUACUGGAGCUGAAUGAGAAUGUCAGAAUUUGGGAGAAAGAGAAAGCGACCUUCUGCCUCCAUGUCCAGGUGCUCGCUUACCCAAAACCACAGUGUGACUGGAUUACACCAAUUGGAACCAAAGUGCAGUCCGACGAAACUCAUGACAUCUGGAAUAAUCACACAUUUAAACUAUGCAAUCCAGAGCCAGGACAGUAUCAGAUACAACUGAGAGCUGAUAAGAAGUUAGUCACAAAGAAUCUGUCUCUCUGUGUGACAGAUACUCCUAAGUUUACUGUACUCCAAAAUCUACACGAAGUCACGUGCAUGACCAACAGCUCACUUCCCCAGGCCCUGUCCUGGAAGAUAUGUCCUUUACCUGCUAACUGUACAGACUCUGCAAUGUGGAAAGAGACAAGUGGCAAUCUACAGGAGUUCCCAGAUUCAGGCCAGUUCUGCCAGAAGAACAUUUUAUUCUUUAAAGCUUGCAGUGAAGUACACAACCACAAUGUCCAGUGCUGCCUCACUAACCUGGACGGCUCAUACUGCAGUGAGCCUAUUACAGUGAAAAGCUCCUGCUCAGACUCCUCGGACUCCUCGGCCAUGGUACUGAUACUGAUGUGCUGCGUGCUUAUCUUUGUCCUGCUGGUCAGCCUCACCCUAGUACAUUUCAUCCGGAAGAAAGUAAAGUCUCUCUUUCUCUGGCAAAGAAAUACUCUCCAUUGCACUAUGAAGAAUACUUACAGUUAUCCUUAUGUCUAACUUAGGUGGUAGGGCCAGUGCUUACCCUGCAUGCACACCAUGUUGCUACCUUCACCUGGUCACUGGUUGGCAUUUUUGAAGUGAGAGUAGGCAGGCCGGAUUUAAUUGGAUUAUUAUUGUCAUGGUCAUGAUUACAAAGUCUUAAGACACUUUCUUUUACCACACUGUGUUUUAAAAUUGAGCUCCCAGUAUAAAUAGGUUAGUAUAGUAUAGGUUUUAUACUGCACAGUAAACUCACCACUAUGAGCGAUUUUCCCCACAUUUUCACUUAAAUGCAAAUGAAACAAAUCUUCGACAGGUCAGUGCAGCAUUCUCUAUGGGAUGUGAGAACAUCCUCUCUGUCUCUGGCUCUCAUUCAAAAUCAGUUACUCCUGCCUGCCUUGCUGCUUUUGUUGCGGUAUAUGUGGUGUAUACACAACGGUUAGGCGGUCGAGCCUCUUGGGCUGGAAGGAAUUUUUAAUGAGCCACAUAGUCUAAAAUAUGAUGUAGUGCUUGUUUCACUCACUCGUUUAGUCCAGCAUGAGUGACAUAGUGGACUGGGAGCGGUUUACAGAGGAAUCAAACAUGCUCAUUAGAAUAUUAGAACUACACUCAGGGAGUUCUCAGAUAGGUCUGAUCAGUAUUUUUAAACAAUAUUUUAUUCUUCUUCUUUCGGCUGCUCCCUUUAGGGGUCGCCACAGGGGAUCAUCUGCCUCCAUCUUGCCCUAAUUAAACAAUAUUUUAUUAUAUAUGUUAAAAUUUUCAUUAAAACUUUGCAAAAUGUUUCAUCCAGCAGUCAAUAAUGUCAAAGAUUUUUCAUACAGACAUUGUGUUCCUUGAGACUUUAAAAUGGUCUGAAUAAAAAAUAUCUUUUUGUUAUUGCAUUUAUGUCUGAUAUCACAUUCUCCUCCAUUUUAGAGGGGCCAUUGCAGCUUCUGAGGAAAACCCUAAUCCGGAAAUUAUGUGGCAUAAAUCAGUCAGUCUGUCUAGGGUGUAUCCUGCCUUUCGCCCAAU